GUAGGUGGCAAGCGUUGUCCGGAAUUAUUGGGCGUAAAGCGCGCGCAGGCGGUUCUUUAAGUCUGAUGUGAAAGCCCACGGCUCAACCGUGGAGGGUCAUUGGAAACUGGAGAACCUGAGUACAGAAGAGGAAAGCGGAAUUCCACGUGUAGCGGUGAAAUGCGUAGAGAUGUGGAGGAACACCAGUGGCGAAGGCGGCUUUCUGGUCUGUAACUGACGCUGAGGCGCGAAAGCGUGGGGGAGCAAACAGGAUUAGAUACCCUGGUAGUCCACGCCGUAAACGAUGAGUGCUAAGUGUUAGGGGGUUUCCGCCCCUUAGUGCUGCAGUUAACGCAUUAAGCACUCCGCCUGGGAGUACGGCCGCAAGGCUG
This 371-nucleotide ribosomal RNA is filed under the name uncultured organism. RNAcentral describes it as "partial 16S ribosomal RNA". It matches the Rfam family "Bacterial small subunit ribosomal RNA", at positions 527 to 896 of the family's 1533-position model. The record is from RNAcentral.